GCCCGGCGCAGUGGCACGUGCCUGUAGUCCCAGCUACUCGGAAGGCUGGGGUGGGAGGAUUGCUUGAGCCCAGGAAUUCUGAGCUGUGCUACGCCAUGCCGAUCCAGUGUCCACACUAAGUCCAGCAUCAAUAUGGUGACCUCCGGGAGCGGGGGACCACCACCAGAUUGCCUAAGGAGGGGUAAACUGGCCCAGGUCGGAACAGAGCAGGUCAAAACUCCCGUGCUAAUCAGUAGUGGGAUCGCGCCUGUGAAUAGCCACUGCACUCCAGCCUGGGCAACAUAGUGAUACCCUCUCUCU
Molecule: signal recognition particle RNA, 300 nt
Filed under: Cebus imitator (Panamanian white-faced capuchin)
Lineage: Eukaryota; Metazoa; Chordata; Mammalia; Primates; Cebidae
Description: Metazoan signal recognition particle RNA (ENSCCAG00000008754.1)
Rfam family: Metazoan signal recognition particle RNA
About the family: The signal recognition particle (SRP) is a universally conserved ribonucleoprotein. It is involved in the co-translational targeting of proteins to membranes. The eukaryotic SRP consists of a 300-nucleotide 7S RNA and six proteins: SRPs 72, 68, 54, 19, 14, and 9.
Source: RNAcentral